RNAcentral lists this transfer RNA (118 nucleotides) under Naumovozyma castellii. Its description in RNAcentral is "tRNA-Lys". It matches the Rfam family "tRNA". From Rfam's summary of the family: Transfer RNA (tRNA) molecules are approximately 80 nucleotides in length. Their secondary structure includes four short double-helical elements and three loops (D, anti-codon, and T loops). The record is from RNAcentral. Lineage: Eukaryota; Fungi; Ascomycota; Saccharomycetes; Saccharomycetales; Saccharomycetaceae.
UCCUUGUUAGCUCAGUUGGUAGAGCGUUCGGCUUUUAAACAAGAAUUGCUUAAUAAUUAAGUGAUUAGUUUAAACCAAGGAUACCGAAAUGUCAGGGGUUCGACCCCCCUAUGAGGAG